AUUGAACGCUGGCGGCAUGCCUUACACAUGCAAGUCGAACGGCAGCAUGGAGAGCUUGCUCUCUGAUGGCGAGUGGCGAACGGGUGAGUAAAGCAUCGGAACGUACCGUGUAGUGGGGGAUAACGUAGCGAAAGUUACGCUAAUACCGCAUACGCACUGAGGUGGAAAGCAGGGGAUCGUAAGACCUUGCGCUAUACGAGCGGCCGAUGUCAGAUUAGCUAGUUGGUAGGGUAAAGGCCUACCAAGGCGACGAUCUGUAGCGGGUCUGAGAGGAGGAUCCGCCACACUGGGACUGAGACACGGCCCAGACUCCUACGGGAGGCAGCAGUGGGGAAUUUUGGACAAUGGGGGCAACCCCGAUCCAGCCAUGCCGCGUGAGUGAAGAAGGCCUUCGGGUUGUAAAGCUCUUUCGGCCGGGAAGAAAUCGCACAGGCUAAUACCCUGUGUGGAUGACGGUACCGGCAUAAGAAGCACCGGCUAACUACGUGCCAGCAGCCGCGGUAA
RNAcentral lists this ribosomal RNA (504 nucleotides) under uncultured bacterium. Its description in RNAcentral is "partial 16S ribosomal RNA". It matches the Rfam family "Bacterial small subunit ribosomal RNA", at positions 29 to 523 of the family's 1533-position model. The record is from RNAcentral.